RNAcentral lists this unclassified non-coding RNA (233 nucleotides) under Hevea brasiliensis (rubber tree). The record is from RNAcentral. Lineage: Eukaryota; Viridiplantae; Streptophyta; Magnoliopsida; Malpighiales; Euphorbiaceae.
CUGGAUUAGAAAGUUCGAUGCUUAUAAGAGUGCUUGAAGUGCUGGUGUUUUUAGCUUAAAAUAAUGGCUUCUGGAAUUGGAUGUGAGGUGAAAUAUUGCACAGGAUGGGGCUAUUGCUAUUUAUGGUAGAAGGUGCAUGGUGUUGCACUGUGGUGUGGAAGGGUAGUAGUAUGGGUUGUGACGAGUAUUUCUUUGUGAUGUGAUGAAAUUUGUUGCUUCUUGCUAAUUGUGGG